AGAUUGAACGCUAGCGGGAUGCUUUACACAUGCAAGUCGAACGGCAGCGCGGACUUCGGUCUGGCGGCGAGUGGCGAACGGGUGAGUAAUAUAUCGGAACGUGCCCAGUAGCGGGGGAUAACUACGCGAAAGCGUGGCUAAUACCGCAUACGCCCUACGGGGGAAAGGGGGGAUCGCAAGACCUCUCACUAUUGGAGCGGCCGAUAUCAGAUUAGCUAGUUGGUGAGGUAAAGGCUCACCAAGGCGACGAUCUGUAGCUGGUUUGAGAGGACGACCAGCCACACUGGGACUGAGACACGGCCCAGACUCCUACGGGAGCAGCAGUGGGGAAUUUGACAAUGGGAACCUGAAUCCAGCCA
This 359-nucleotide ribosomal RNA is filed under the name uncultured soil bacterium. Its description in RNAcentral is "bacterial SSU rRNA". It matches the Rfam family "Bacterial small subunit ribosomal RNA", at positions 26 to 394 of the family's 1533-position model. The record is from RNAcentral.